Setaria italica (foxtail millet) is the source of this 1936-nucleotide long non-coding RNA. RefSeq lists it as uncharacterized. NCBI's taxonomy places the organism in Eukaryota, Viridiplantae, Streptophyta, Magnoliopsida, Poales, Poaceae. The transcript has 2 exons. The record is from RefSeq and is a predicted model, not a curated record.
UAGCCCAACAAACACACCCUCAAUGUAUAAAUCUAAGGUGGGCCGUGACAGGGGUCUGCGUGGUCAAAUCUGAUCCAUUUUGUAAGUUCGGUAGGCCUGCCUGGGCCUCUGGCCCCUGUAAAAGUAUUCUACGUAGACCCGUCCACGAUCAGAAAGGCCCAACCAACUUUGCUCGCUUGUUAUUGCGCUCCGUCUUCCGUCUUCCGCUCCGUCUCGCCGCCGCCGCGCACCCCAACCAAAACCUACCCCCACCGGCGCGCAAUCCGCUCGCCGGAGCCGAUGGGGGCACCCAAUCCGCGCAAGCUCGCCGUUCCACAGGUCUCCUCCGAUUGACCGCUUCCCGUCUCCACGGCAAUGGCGGGGUGCGCCAAGAAGAAGAGGGUGGCGAGGGGCUCCAAGAACAAGAACAAGAAGAAGGGCGGGGCGCGGGACGUGGUGGCCGACCUCACCGAAGACGUCCUCGUCGACAUUCUCUCGCGCGUGCCCGUAAAAUCGCUCUGCCUCGGCAAAUCGGCGUGUAGGCGCUGGCGUGACCUCAUCUCCCACCCCGAACACCGAACACCGCAAGAAGCUGCCCCAGACCCUUGCCGGCUUCUUCUACGGGAGCUGCGACAGAAACCGAUUCCCGAAAUCGGCUCGCUAUUUCAUUAGCGUCUCAGGAGCAGGCGACCCUCUGAUCGACCCCGCCCUUUCGUUCCUACCCGAAUAUAAGAGCAUUGACUUCGUGGACAGCUGCAACGGACUCCUCCUUUGCCGUGGCUGGAAACCCACUAAUCCUGUGACACUGGAUUACCUCGUGCAAUCCCGCCACUGAGAAAUGGGUGGUCGUUCCCGACUCUGGCUGGUGUAGCAAAGCUACAUUUUAUGAGCCAAGGAUCGCUCGCUUGGGGUUUGACCCAGCUAUCUCCACACACUUCCAUGUGUUUGAGUUCAUACCAGAUCAUGUUUGGCAUAUGAAUGAUCGAGAGAUGGACGUGAAUGAUUUUUACAGAAUGACAUACGAGAACGAUUUUGAUGGAAGGAUACAAGUAGUGGCCACCUACUCCUCCAAAACUGGAGUUUGGAGUUUCAACGAGGACCAUUUCAAAUGGGGUGGUCAAUUUGCGAUUCCCAUGGAUUCAAAAGGUGUCUUUUUCAAUGGGGUUCUGCAUCUGACUACUUUUUAUGGCAUGGUAUUAGCCAUUGACGUGGAGGGAAAUAUUUUGAGAGGCAUCCCUGUUUCUAUGCCAGACUAUGAUGGAGAAACGUAGGUGAUGUUUACCUAUCUCAGGGACACUUGUAUUUUGCAGUAAGAUAUGUAUCUGAUGAAUCCGAUGACUAUGGAUUAUCAGUCUGGGUUCUUGAGGACUACAAUAGUGAAAAUUGGUCUUUGAAGCACAAUGUCAACCCUCUGGAUCUGUUUGGAGCUUAUUACUAUUCAAAGUUUGGAGAUUAUUUCAGAGUUAUAUCAAUUCAUCCAGAACACAAUGUGAUUGUCAUGGUUUGCGGACAGACAAAACACUAAUGUCUUAUGAAAUGGAUCACAUGAGGAUCCAUUUUGUAAGUCGACUUGGAAGCCAUUGCUCGACUCCUUAUAUUCCAUAUGUUCCCUUGUUCUCAGGGUCAUUGGCAGACGAGCACUAAAAGUCUCACUUGCCAAGUAUAGCUCCAUGAUUGUUGGACUUAUCCGAUGAUACUGGAGUUGGUAUAUGAGCAGCGGUGGCUUGGGUAGAACUUUAUGAAGUUGUGACAGUGUUCCAUGGUGCUUUCGUGCACUCGUGUAGCCAUGUGCCCAACUUUAUGGGGCCAGCUAGUGCAGUUCACUGAGGAAGUAUAUGUUUUGUGUAUGCUGUGUAAGCAGCAUAUGCAGUUGUAAAUGGCAUCAUCCUUAAGUACUUCGAGUUGAUAUUAUGAUCUUUCUGUUGAACCAUAAUCAGUGCCUUUAACAUCCAGGUUC